RNAcentral lists this ribosomal RNA (508 nucleotides) under uncultured bacterium. Its description in RNAcentral is "partial 16S ribosomal RNA". It matches the Rfam family "Bacterial small subunit ribosomal RNA", at positions 28 to 507 of the family's 1533-position model. The record is from RNAcentral.
GACGAACGCUGGCGGCGUGCCUAAUACAUGCAAGUCGAACGCUUCUUUCCUCCCGAGUGCUUGCACUCAAUUGGAAAGAGGAGUGGCGGACGGGUGAGUAACACGUGGGUAACCUACCCAUCAGAGGGGGAUAACACUUGGAAACAGGUGCUAAUACCGCAUAACAGUUUAUGCCGCAUGGCAUAAGAGUGAAAGGCGCUUUCGGGUGUCGCUGAAGGAUGGACCCGCGGUGCAUUAGCUAGUUGGUGAGGUAACGGCUCACCAAGGCCACGAUGCAUAGCCGACCUGAGAGGGUGAUCGGCCACACUGGGACUGAGACACGGCCCAGACUCCUACGGGAGGCAGCAGUAGGGAAUCUUCGGCAAUGGACGAAAGUCUGACCGAGCAACGCCGCGUGAGUGAAGAAGGUUUUCGGAUCGUAAAACUCUGUUGUUAGAGAAGAACAAGGACGUUAGUAACUGAACGUCCCCUGACGGUAUCUAACCAGAAAGCCACGGCUAACUACGUG